CAAUAGCGUAUAUUAAAGUUGUCGCAGUUAAAAAGCUCGUAGUUGGAUUUCUGUCGAGAACGAGCGGUCUGCCCACUGGGUUUGUAUCGAUUCGGUUUUGGCAUCUUCUUGAGGAACGUGUCUGCACUUCACUGUGUGGCUCGCUACUCAGGACUUUUACUUUGAGGAAAUUAGAGUGUUUCAAGCAGGCAGCCGCCUUGAAUACAUUAGCAUGGAAUAAUAAGAUAGGACUUUGGUUCAUUUUUGUUGGUUUCUUGAGCUGAAGUAAUGAUUAAUAGGGAUAGUUGGGGGCAUUCGUAUUUAACUGUCAGAGGUGAAAUUCUUAGAUUUGUUAAAGACGAACUACUGCGAAAGCAUUUGCCAAGGAUGUUUNCAUUG
This 378-nucleotide ribosomal RNA is filed under the name uncultured eukaryote. Its description in RNAcentral is "partial 18S ribosomal RNA". It matches the Rfam family "Eukaryotic small subunit ribosomal RNA", at positions 592 to 975 of the family's 1831-position model. The record is from RNAcentral.